This is a long non-coding RNA of Gallus gallus (chicken), 1366 nucleotides long. The record is from Ensembl. Lineage: Eukaryota; Metazoa; Chordata; Aves; Galliformes; Phasianidae.
AUCUUGUGGAAGAUCCCUGUGUACCUGAGACCUUCUAAGGAAAACUUGUCCUUGUGCAACAUUUAUUCUACUUUACUGCUGACUUUCAGAAUCCCUUGGGUCUCACAAAACAGAUAGGAUAGCCCAGUAUGCUUUGAAGACAAAAACAGUUAUUCUAAAAUCCACUUUAAUGUUUAUCUAUCAGAAAAAGCUUGAGAGAGAGAGGACAGGAGGAGCAAAGCAGCCUGGUUGCAACUCCUCUUGUCCAGACCAAAUCUCAUCUUGUGUAAUGAAAGCACUUUCCACUUGGCUACAUGAUAAUGUUUAUGUUUACAGUGGAGAUUUAUGGCUAGAAAUCUACAUUAAUUCUUAUUUACAGUAAAUACAAAAAAAAAAAAUCUCCUGUUCACUAGCCUAGUGGCUGAAACACUUACCCAACAUACACUCCAGUGCUUAGUGAAUCUCUGUGCAACUUUAUGAGAUGGAUUGAACUCAUUUUUGAAGACUAUUUAUUAGUUCUCCAGACAAAUUAAAGGACCCUGAUAAUUAUAAGUCCAAUUUUAUGCUUUCAUGUGGCUCCAUUAGGGACUUUUAUGGCUAUAAUAUCAUUACUGGUGUACAUUUAUUUAAUGCAAACAAUGGCUAUCAAUUAAAAUGAGAUUUAAGUGGAGCUUUGGGCAAAUAAAUUUUCCUUCUAAUAUGCAUCUGUAAUUAGAUUGCAAAAGGAUAUGGAUGCAUUGUAAUGGCUUAUUCUUUGAAGUUAGGUGGAUCCAAAUCUGGGACCCUUUCUGCCUGCAUGAAAGAAGCUGCAAUUCUGGAAGCAUAUGAACUGUUCCUUUGAGAGAUCACUUACACAAGCAUAAUACCCAAGGAUAUGGAACCUCAACAUCAGUCCUAAUAAGUUAUUUUUCUCUCUAUAAGCAAAGGGGAUGUGACCUGGCUUCCCAAAUGCCAUUGAUCUCCUGCUGCUUACUUUGUCAGCUGAUGAAUAUUACCACUGCAUGAAAAAUCUACAAAAUGUUUCACUUAAUUCACUUAAGUGAAGGAAGUUGAAGGGAGAUACAGGAAAAUAAAAAGAUCGGGAAAAACAAACAACUAAUAAAACUUUCAGAUAUAGCUGAAAGAACUUGGUUUGACUUUGUCAUAAUGAAAGGUCACAAUAACUGUAAUUUAUUGAGUAAUGCUUUUUCUGAUGUAUUCUUUAAUUUUUGUAGGAAUACCAUUUAGUGAUAGGUAAUAACAACCUAUUUUUUAAUCCACGUGUAUUCCUACCAAACUUUUUCCCUAUUCAUUCCUACAGUGAAAAUACUACUUAUACAAGUUAUAUCUGAGAACCAUGUGAAAAUGUAUUUUGUACCAGAUUCCUUUUUUCACAUUACAUCUGACU